Molecule: long non-coding RNA, 546 nt
Organism: Cydia splendana
Lineage: Eukaryota; Metazoa; Arthropoda; Insecta; Lepidoptera; Tortricidae
Exons: 2
Source: RefSeq, a predicted model, not a curated record
UAAAUUAAUUAAAAUAACAACUAGGAAAUUGCAAAUAACACUAAAAUGUUAACGUGUACCUAAUGAACUCGGUCUAACUGAGAAAAUGCGGCAGCAAUGUAAGAACUUACAAUUAUGAUGAUUGAAGGCAGUCCCGCCACUUCCUGCUAUAAGCCGGGCUAACUGCGGAAGCGCGAACACCGGCUCCGAUAAUAUCUAUAAUCUAACGUCAAUCAACUUCAAGCACUAGCCAGUUAGCCCUAAUGCAUUCCAGAACAGUCAUUGUCCAAUUUCAACAAAAAAACAAAAAUAGAGUACGAUUCACUAUAAGAUAAUUAUAAUUUUAGUUUUUAUCAAAAAUGAACCAAACGGUAAUUGAAGUUUUGAUCGUAAAUAAAUCGAUUAAAUAUAUCGUGAUCACUAAACCGGGAUACAUGAGCGGCGUGCGCGCGCGCUGCCCGAGGCGCAAGCGCUGACGGAAUGCGCGCGCAGCAACCUCCUCUGGAGGCUGUGGCGCCGGCGCCGCGUCCUCUCCUCUCGUAUAAAAAUAGAAAGUCACAACCCGUA